AAAGUCGUAACAAGGUUUCCGUAGGUGAACCUGCGGAAGGAUCAUUCACACUUAAAGGAGUGUAUGGACAGCGCAAGCUGCUCAUCGCUCUGAAUCUCCAAACCAAAACCAAUAUGCUAUGUUCAAACCGACUUCCUUCUCUCUCUUUUGAGAGUCGGCAUGUUCAACUUUGGGUCGGAUAGUCUUCGCGGGCUGUCUGAUCUGAAUACCAAAAUCAACUGAUUUUAUCUACAAACACCCCCCGUCGUUGCUUGUGGCCCACUUUAACCGGUGCUGCUGCUUGUGAUUGUCAUUCUAGCCUAAGUCUGCUUCUCAUUGAAUUAAGCACUCAGUGUGGAAGCAUGUUCGACACAUACGUAACACUAAAGAAAUACAACUCUUUGCAAUGGAUAUCUUGGUUCUC
RNAcentral lists this unclassified non-coding RNA (403 nucleotides) under Basidiomycota sp. Its description in RNAcentral is "partial contains small subunit ribosomal RNA, internal transcribed spacer 1, and 5.8S ribosomal RNA". The stretch from base 1 to 47 matches the Rfam family "Eukaryotic small subunit ribosomal RNA", at positions 1785 to 1831 of the family's 1831-position model. Lineage: Eukaryota; Fungi; Basidiomycota. The record is from RNAcentral.